RNAcentral lists this long non-coding RNA (35560 nucleotides) under Triticum aestivum (bread wheat). RNAcentral's name for it is "long non-coding RNA (TAES_LNC003089)". Lineage: Eukaryota; Viridiplantae; Streptophyta; Magnoliopsida; Poales; Poaceae. The record is from RNAcentral.
CUACAAGUGCCUAGAGCCUAUAUCAUGCAUUGGAAUUGCUUGGUACCUUAUAAAUUUAACAUGCAAGCUCAAGAACAUGGUCACCUAUGCAGCAAAAAAUUUCAAUGAAUAAAGCACUAGAACAAAAACUAAUUGGACUAAUGGAGGAGUCACAUACCAAGCAACAAUCUCCCAAAGCAGUUUUGUGAAUGGAGCUUUGAGCAAGGAGAUCGAAAAUCGCAGCAAAAUGAGCUAGAACUCGUGCUUGACCUGGAUGGGGAUUUUUUCGGUAGAAGAUGAAGUGUGUGGGUGCUGGCAUAAGUGGGGGGGCCACCAGGGGCCCACGAGACAGGGGGGCGCGCCCUAUAGGGGGGGCGCCCUCCACUCUCAUGGCUUGGUGCUUGCCCCUCUUGCAGUGAUUUCAGUGCCUAAAAUCCUCAAAUAUUCCAGAAAAAAUCAUACUAAAUUUGCAGGGCAUUUGGAGCACUUUUAUUUUUGGAUUAUUUUUUAUUGCAUGGAUAAUUCAGAAAACAGACAAAUAAUACUAUUUUUGCUUUAUUUAUUCUAAAUAACAGAAAGUAAAAAGAGGGUACAUAAGGUUGUGCCUUCUAGUUUCAUCCAUCUCAUGAUCAUCAAAAUGAAUCCACUAACAAGGUUGAUCAAGUCUUGUUAACAAACUCAUUCCGAAUAACACGAAACCGGAGAAAUUUCGAAUAACACUAAGUUACCUCAACGGGGAUACGAAAAUCCCCAACAAUAAGAAUAUCAUACUUUUUCUUGACAGUAGGGAGAGGAAAUUCAAAACCUCCAAUAAUAAUAGUUGGAACUUUUCCAAUAGAAUUCAUGCUAUGAACUUGAGGUUGUUUCCUCGGAAAGUGUUCCGUAUGCUCAUUACCAUUAACAUGAAAAGUGACAUUGCCUUUGUUACAAUCAAUAACAGCCCCUGCAGUAUUAAGAAAAGGUCUACCAAGGAUAAUAGACAUACUAUCGUCCUCAGGAAUAUCAAGAAUAACAAAGUCCGUUAAGAUAGUGACAUUUGCAACCACAAUAGGCACAUCAUCACAAAUACCGACAGGUAUAGCAGUUGAUUUAUCAGCCAUUUGCAAAGAUAUUUCAGUAGGUGUCAACUUAUUCAAUUCAAGUCUACGAUAUAAAGAGAGAGGCAUAACACUAACACCGGCUCCAAGAUCACAUAAAGCAGUUCUAACAUAAUUUCUUUUAAUGGGGCAUGGUAUAGUUGGUACACCCAGAUCUCCAAGUUUCUUUGGUAUUCCACCCUUAAAAGUGUAAUUAGCAAGCAUGGUGGAAAUUUCAGCUUCCAGUAUCUUUCUUUUAUUUGUGAUGAUAUCCUUCAUAUACUUAGCAUAAGGAUUUACUUUCAGCAUAUCAGUUAAGCGCAUACGUAAGAAAAUAGGUCUAAUCAUUUCAGCAAAGCGCUCAAAAUCCUCAUCAUCCUUUGACUAGGAUGGUUUAGGAGGAAAGGGCAUGGGUUUCUGAACCCAUGGUUCUCUUUCUUUACCGUGCUUCCUAGCAACAAAAUCUCUCUUAUCAUAACGUUGAUUCUUUGAUUGAGGGUUAUCAAGAUCAACAGCAGGUUCAAUCUCUACAUCAUUGUUUUUGCUAGAUUGAGCAUCAACAUGAACAUUAUCAUUAACAUUAUCACUAGGUUCGUGUUCAUCACCUGAUUGUGUUUCAGCAUCAGAAAUAGAAAUAUCAUUGGGAUUCUCAGGUGUGUCUACAGUAGGUUCACUAGAAGCAUGCAAAGUUCUAUCGUUUUUCUUUUUCUUCUUUUUAGAAGAACUAGGUGCCUCUAAAUUGUUUCUCUAAGAAUCUUGCUCGAUUCUCUUAGGGUGUACUUUAGGAUACAAAGGUCCUUGAGUCAUUCUACCAGUUCUAGUAGCCACUCUCACAACAAAGUCAUUUUUAUUAUUUAAUUCAUCAAGCAAAUCAUUUUGAGCUUUAAGUACUUGCUCAGCUUGAGUAGCAACCAUAGAAGCAUAUUUGCUAACGAGUUUGAGUUCAUCUUUAACUCUAGCCAGAUUAUCGCUUAUGCGUCCUAUCUCGAAAGCAUUAUUCUUUAACUCUCUACCAACAUAAGCAUUAAAACUUUCUUGUUUAGCCAUAAAGUCAUCAAAUUUAUCGAAGCAUGGGCUAUGAAAUUUAGUAGAGGGGAUUUCAACUUUAUCAUAUCAUAUCUAUAGAGAGAAUUUACCUUUACUACCUGUGUCGGGUUAUCAAGACAAUGUGGUUCUUCAACAGGCGGUAUAUUAAGACCAUGUAUUUUUUCAAUAGGAGGUAAAUUCUUAACAUCUUCAGCUUUAACACCUUUUUCUUUCCUUGAUUUCUUUGCCUCUUGCAUAUCUUCAGGACUGAGAAAUAAAACACCUCUCUUCUUUGGAGUGGGUUUAGGAAUAGGCUCAUGAGUUGGCUCAAUUGGUUCAGGAAUUGCUUCAGGAAUUGGCUCAGGAAGAGUCCAAUUAUUUUCAUUAGUCAACAUAUUAUUCAAUAAUAUUUCAGCUUCGUCGACUGUUCUUUCCCUGAAAACACAACCAGCACAACUAUCCAAGUAGUCCUUGGAAACAUCGGUUAGUCCAUUAUAAAAGAUAUCAAGUAUUUCAUUUUUCUUGAGAGGAUGAUCAGGCAAAGCAUUAAGUAACCGGAGAAGCCUCCCCCAAGCUUGUGGGAGACUCUCUUCUUUGAUUUGCACAAAAUUAUAUAUUUCCCACAAGGCAGCUUUUUCUUAUGAGCAGGGAAAUAUUUAGCAGAGAAGUAAUAAAUCAUAUCCUGGGGACUACGCACACAACCAGGAGCAAGAGAAUUAUACCAAGUCUUAGCAUCACCCUUUAAUGAGAACGGAAUUAUCUUAAGAAUAUAAUAAUAGAGAGACUUCUCAUCAUGAGUAAUCAGGGUAGCUAUAUCAUUUAACUUGGUAAGAUGUGCCACAACAGUUUCAGAUUCAAGGCCAUAAAAAGGAUCAUAUUCAACUAAAGUAAUAAUUUUAGGAUCAACAGAGAAUUCAUAAUACUUAUCAGUAACACAGAUAGGUGAAGUAGCAAAAGCAGGGUCAGGUUUCAUUCUAGCAUUAAGAGACUGCUGCUUCCAUUUAGCUAAUAAUUUCUUAAGAUCAUAUCUAUCAUUGCAAGCAAAGAUUUCCCUAGCAGCUUCUUCAUUCAUAACAUAACCCUCAGGAACAACAGGUAAUACAUAAUCAUUGGGAGAACCUUCAUCAUCACUAUCAUCUAUAAUAGCAUCUUCAAUAUUUUCAUUCUCCCUAACUCUAGCAAGUUGUUCAUCAAGAAAUUCACCUAAUGGCAAAGUAGUAUCAAGCACAGAAGUAGUUUCAUCAUGCAUAGCAGAAGUGGCAUCAUCAAUAACAUGCAACAUAUCAGAAUUCAUAGCAGUAGCAGGUUUAGGUGUCGCAAGCCUACUAAUAACGGAAGGAGAAUAUAGUGCAGAGCUAGAUGGCAGUUCCUUACCUCCCCUCGUAGUUGAGGGCAAAAUAGUAGUUCUGUCAUCUUUCAAGUUCUUCAUAGUGAUUAACAGAUAUAAAUCCCAAGUGACUCAGAGAAUAUAGCUAUGCUCCCCGGCAAUGGCGCCAUAAAUUAGUCUUGAUAACCCACAAGUGUAGGGGUCACAACAACUUUCGAGGGUAAAGUAUUCAACCCAAAUUUAUUGAUUCGACACAAGGGGAGCCAAAGAAUAUUCUUGAGUAUUAGCAGUUGAGUUGUCAAUUCACCACACCUGGAUAACUUAGUAUCUACAGCAAAGUAUUUAGUAGCAAAAGUGGUAUGAUAAUAAAAGUAACGGUAGCAAAAGUAAAGAUAAUAGUUUUUGGGUUUUUGUAGUAGUUGUAACAGUAGCACCGGAAAAGUAAAUAAGCGAAGAACAAUAUAUGAAAAGCUCGUAGGCAAUGGAUCAGUGAUGGAUAAUUAUGCCGGAUGUGAUUCCUCAUGCAAUAGUUAUAACAUAGGGUGACACAGAACUAGCUCCAGUUCAUCAAUGUAAUGUAGGCAUGUAUUCCGUAAAUAGUUAUACGUGCUUAUGGAAAAGAACUUGCAUGACAUCUUUUGUCCUACCCUCCCGUGGUAGCGGGGUCCUAGCGGAAACUAAGGGAUAUUAAGGCCUCCUUUUAAUAGAGAACCGGAACAAAGCAUUAGCACAUAGUGAAUACAUGAACUCCUCAAACUACGGUCAUCACCGAGAAGUAUCCCGAUUAUUGUCACUUCGGGGUUGUCGGAUCAUAACACAUAAUAGGUGACUAUAGACUUGCAAGAUAGGAUCAAGAACACACAUAUAUUCAUGAAAAACAUAAUAGGUUUAGAUCUGAAAUCAUGGCACUCGGGCCCUAGUGACAAGCAUUAAGCAUACCAAAGUCAUAGCAACAUCAAUCUCAGAACAUAGUGGAUACUAGGGAUCAAACCCUAACAAAACUAACUUGAUUACAUGGUAAAUCUCAUCCAACCCAUCACCGUCCAGCAAGCCUACGAUGGAAUUACUCACGCACGGUGGUGAGCAUCAUGAAAUUGGUGAUGGAGGAUGGUUGAUGAUGACGACGGCGAUGAAUCCCCCUCUCCGGAGCCCCGAACGGACUCCAGAUCAGCCCUCCCGAGAGAGCUUAGGGCUUGGCGGCGGCACCGUGUUGUAAAAUGCGAUGAAACUUUCUCUCUGAUUUUUUUUCUCCCCGAACGUGAAUAUAUGGAGUUGGAGUUGAGGUCGGUGGAGGUCCAGGGGGCCCACGAGAUAGGAGGGCGCGCUCUAGUGGGGGCGCGCCCCUGUCUCGUGGACAGGCCCUGGGCCCCCUGGUGUAUUUCUUUCGCCCAGAAAUUCUUAUUAAUUCCAUAAAGUACCUCUGUGGAUUUUCAGGACAUUCUGAGAACUUUUCUUUUCUAGACAUAAAACAACAUCAUGGCAGUUCUGCUGAAAACGGCGUCAGUCCGGGUUAGUUUCAUUCAAAUCAUGCAAGUUAGAGUCCAAAACAGGGGCAAAAGUGUUUGGAAAAGUAGAUACGUUAGAGACGUAUCAAGCAUGAAUAAUAAACAUUUAUCAUGAAAUAAGGAAAUAAAUAAUAACUUUAUUAUUGCCUCUAGGGCAUAUUUCCUUCACCAAUAUUGUCCCAAAGGUUGCCUGGUCAAAGAAGCUCUCCUGAAUUGUUCGCGAAGAGUCUUUGAUCCCGUUGAACACGCACAACAGAUGAGGGCGCUGCCGAAGUGGCUGGACUCUUCGGUUUAUCGCAGUGGCCAUUACAUCUAUUAUAGUAAGGCCAGUGCUCGUUAACUGCUUCAUCCGAGAUGCCAGCUUGGUUACCUUGGCACUUUCCUCCUGGGCGGGGCCCUGCAGCCUCCAACUAUAACGCCUCUUCGGGGGUUCCUUGGAGAACCAGGGGAGUCCCGGCCGAACUGGGUCGAGGAGGGGAACAUCGUUUAUAUAAACCACUCGGUUGGACAGACGUCGGUGUCCACUCGAGGAGUGCCUAAUGGGUAUUCGGUCCCCUCGAUUCGGCAACCCCAACCUCAUAACUUCUUGGCAGGGGAGUAGGGAAAUACGUAUAAAUACUUCCUCCGUAGCCCGAAGCAUGCCUCACACUCGAGGUGCAUCUCGCAAAGGGCGACGUACCCCGCAAUAUGUAAAAUCUAGUUGGGGUGAAAUGGUGAAGUUGCAGCCAAACAAACUCCAAUAGACCCCGAAGGAAGGGAUGAAUGGGAAACCCUAGGCACGCAGCAAGAAGGAGACGAAGCAUACCCUUUCUCCCUCUUGAGGAGAAGGGUGAUUCUCUGCAUGCACUUGCCCGUUCAUGGAUGUCAAUCCUGAGCGGGUCGCUGACAGAUCUGAAUCAGGCAAAUGUCCUUACUUGGCCAGGCGUUCCAGUCGGAUGCACGAGACAACACAACAGCCUAGUCGCCUAUAAUAGGGACGUGAGGGCACCUCAAAGAGCCUGCAUUUCUCACCAUGAGAAACUCUCGAGGUUGGACUUGGGAGGAGGGGAGCGCUUGCGUGAUUUGCUUGGAAAGAGGGGUUGGGGUGUAUGGUAAAUCCGCACGCCUGGCUCAUAAAUAAAAAGAAGGAGAGGCCGUUGCUUCGACAUUUCGCCAUAAAGCAACUUGCUUCCCCGUAAAAACGUGAAGGAGAGCUGAGCCCGCCCGGCAGAGCUAUCAAACUUCCAAAGACUACUUGAAGAAGUCCAAGAGUGUCAUCCUCGGCAUCGAAGGCUCGUUCAGGGGCUACUGAUGGUGUCCUAGACUAGGGAGUGCCAACCUAGCCAGUCUGCAUUCUUUGGGCUGGGCCAAUGGGCCUUCAUUCCUCUCAAGAUGGACUCCGGAAGUUGCACGCUCGAGGCGAGAUCAAGACUGCAUCGACCGAAGACUUGACGUGUACUCCAAGAUUUCUCCUGCCGCCUCCACGCCAAAAUACCGACUUUGUAACCCUAGGAGCCCUACAUGGCGUCUAUAUAAGCCAAAGGGUUUAGCCUCUAGAGGCAACAUCAACACAAUCUCGUUCACCUAGCCAUAGAGUUAGAACACAUCUGACGAUCUCAAGGUAGAUCAACUCUGUAUUUGAUACAUCUCCAUCAAUAUAAACAAGAGCAGGACGUAGGGUUUUACCUCCAUCAAGAGGGCCCGAACCUGGGUAAACAUCGUCUCCUUCUUCCUGUUACCAUUUGUCCGAUAUCCACAGCUCGGGACCCCUACCGCGAGGUUUGCCGGUUUUCACACCGACAACGCCAUGCUUUGCACCCAAAAUGACGGUGGUAGCAAAACAUGGCACUGGUUCUAGCAACCAAAAAAACGGUGGUAGCAAAAAACCAGCAAAACAAAAAACGCCAGUGGUAGCAAAAAAUGAAGUUUGUUCUAGCAAACUAAAACGCUGGUCGUAGCAAAAAAAUACAAAAAUUGGGGUUGGUUUCAGCAUACCCAAAAACCGGUGGUAGCAAAAAGUUGUGCUGGUUCCAGCAAAAAAACGAUGGUAGCAAAAAAUGCAAGAUUGGGUGGUGGUUGCAGCUUUCCCCGACAGUGGUGGCAACUUACGGCGCCGCGGGUUCCAGCUAUGUAGAGGUGGUUGCAGCUUUCAACAUGGAAGGUCACCAUGGUCGGCCUCGGAUAACUCCACAACGAUGGCACCAGUUGUAGCUGGGGGCUAUGCUGGUUACAACAUCACGCGAACUGGUUGUAGUAGAGGUGUUGUGCCGCUCGAAGCAACUCUCAUGGCUAGGACGGGGCAUAGAAGCUAUUGGGAACGUAGUAAUUUCAAAAAAAAUCCUAUGCACACGCAAGAUCAUGGUGAUGCAUAGCAACGAGAGGGGAGAGUGUUGUCCACGUACCCUCGUAGACCGAAAGCGGAAGUGUUAGAACAACGCGGUUGAUGUAGUUGUACGUCUUCACGGCCCGGCCGAACAAGCACCGAAAGUACGGCACCUCCGAGUUCUAGCACACGUUCAGCUCGAUGACGUCCCUUGAACUCUGAUCCAACCGAGUGUCAAGGGAGAGUUCCGUCAGCACGACGGCGUGGUGACGAUGAUGAUGUUCUACCGUCGUAGGGCUUCGCCUAAGCAGUGCUACAAUAUUAUCGAGGAGGACUAUGGUAGAGGGUGGCACCGCACACGGCUAAGAGAUCAAUGAUUUGUUGUUGUUGUGUCUAGAGGUGCCCCCCCCCCCCCGCCCCCGUAUAUAAAGGAGCAAGGAGGGAGGUGGCGGCCGGCCAGGAGGAGGCGCGCCUGGAGGAGUCCUACUCCCACCGGGAGUAGGACUCCCUCCCUUCCUUGUUGGAUUAGGAGAAGAGGGGAAAGAGGAGGGAGAGAAAGGAAGGAAAGGGGGGCGCUGCCCCCUCUCCUUAUCCUAUUCAGACUAGGGGGGAGGGGCGCGCGGCCCUGCCCUAGCCGCCUCUCCUCUUCUCCACUAAGGCCCACUAUGGCCCAUUAAGCCUCCGGGGGGUUCCGGUAACCCCUCGGUACUCCGGUAAAAUCCCGAUUUCACCCGGAACACUUCCGAUAUCCAAAUAUAGGCUUCCAAUAUAUCAAUCUUCGUGUCUCGACCAUUUCGAGACUCCUCGUCAUGUCCUUGAUCACAUCCGGGACUCCGAACAACCUUCAGUACAUCAAAACUCAUAAACUCAUAAUAUAACCGUCAUUGAAACUUUAAGCGUGCGGACCCUACGGGUUCGAGAACUAUGUAGACAUGACCGAGACACGUCUCCGGUUAAUAACCAAUAGCGGAACCUGGAUGCUCAUAUUGGCUCCUACAUAUUCUACAAAGAUCUUUAUUGGUCAAAACGCAUAACAACAUACGUUGUUCCCUUUGUCAUCGGUAUGUUACUUGCCCGAGAUUCGAUCGUCGGUAUCCCAAUACCUAGUUCAAUCUCGUUACCGGCAAGUCUCUUUACUCGUUAUGUAAUGCAUCAUUCCGUAACUAACUCAUUAGCUACAUUGCUUGCAAGGCUUAUAGUGAUGUGCAUUACCGAGAGGGCCCAGAGAUACCUCUCUGACAAUCGAAGUGACAAAACCUAAUCUCAAAAUACGCCAACUCAACAUGUACCUUUGGAGACACCUAUAGAGCUCCUUUAUAAUCACCAAGUUACGUUGUGACGUUUGGUAGCACACAAAGUGUUCCUCUGGUAAACAGGAGUUGCAUAAGCUCAUAGCUGUAGGAACAUGUAUAAGUCACAAGAAAGCAAUCGCAACAUACUAAACGAUCAAGUGCUAAGCUAACGGAAUGGGUCAAGUCAAUCACAUCAUUCUCCUAAUGAUGUGAUCCCGUUAAUCAAAUGACAACUCAUGUCUAUGGUCGGGAAACAUAACCAUCUUUGAUUAAUGAGCUAGUCAAGUAGAGGCAUACUAGUGACAUUAUGUUGUCUAUGUAUUCACACAUGUAUUAUGUUUCCGGUUAAUACAAUUCUAGCAUGAAUAAUAAACAUUUAUCAUGAUAUAAGGAAAUAAAUGAUAAAUUUAUUAUUGCCUCUAGGGCAUAUUUCCUUCAGUCUCCCACUUGCACUAGAGUUAAUAAUCUUGAUUACACAGUAAUGAUUCUAACACCCAUGGAGCCUUGGUGCUGAUCAUGUUUUGCUCGUUGAAGAGGCAUAGUCAGCGGGUCUGCAACAUUCAGAUCCGUAUGUAUCUUGCAAAUCUCUAUGUCUCCCACCUGGACUUGGUCCCGAAUGGAAUUGAAGCGUCUCUUGAUGUGCUUGGUCCUCUUGUGAAAUCUGGAUUCCUUUGCAAAGGCAAUUACACCAGUAUUGUCACAGAAGAUCUUCAUUGGUCCCGAUGCACUAGGUAUGACACCAAGAUCGAAUAUGAACUCCUUCAUCCAGACUCCUUCAUUUGCUGCUUCCGAAGCAGCUAUGUACUCCGCUUCGCAUGUAGAUCCUGCCACGACGCUUUGUUUAGAACUGCACCAACUGACAGCUCCACCGUUCAAUAUAAACACGUAUCCGAUUUGUGAUUUAGAAUCUUCCGGAUCAGUGUCAAAGCUUGCAUCGAUGUAACCAUUUACGACUAGCUCUUUGUCACCUCCAUAAACGAGAAACAUAUCCUUAGUCCUUUUCAGGUAUUUCAGGAUAUUCUUGACCGUUGUCCAGUGAUCCACUCCUGGAUUACUUUGGUACCUCCCUGCUAAACUUAUUGCUAAGCAUACAUCAGGUUUGGUACACAGCAUUGCAUACAUGAUAGGGCCUAUGGCUGAAGCAUAGGGAACAUCUUUCAUUUUCUCUCUAUCUUCUGCUGUGGUCGAGCAUUGAGUCUGACUCAACUUCACACCUUGUAAUACAGGCAAGAACCCUUUCUUUGCUUGAUCCAUUUUGAACUUUUUCAAAACUUUAUCAAGGUAUGUGCUUUGUGAAAGUCCAAUUAAGCGUCUUGAUCUAUCUCUAUAGAUCUUGAUGCCUAAUAUGUAAGCAGCUUCACCGAGGUAUUUCAUUGAAAAACUUUUAUUCAAGUAUCCUUUUAUGCUAUCCAGAAAUUCUAUAUCAUUUUCAAUUAACAAUAUGUCAUCUACAUAUAAUAUCAGAAAUGCUACAGAGCUCCCGCUCACUUUCUUGUAAAUACAGGCUUCUCCAAAAGUCUGUAUAAAACCAUAUGCUUUGAUCACACUAUCAAAGCGUUUAUUCCAACUCCGAGAGGCUUGCACCAGUCCAUAAAUGGAUUGCCGGAGCUUGCACACUUUGUUAGCACCUUUUGGAUCGACAAAACCUUCUGGUUGCAUCAUAUACAACUCUUCUUCCAGAAAUCCAUUCAGGAAUGCAGUUUUGACAUCCAUUUGCCAUAUUUCAUAAUCAUAAAAUGCGGCAAUUGCUAACAUGAUUCGGACAGACUUAAGCAUCGCUACGGGUGAGAAAGUCUCAUCGUAGUCAACUCCUUGAACUUGUCGAAAACCUUUUGUAACAAGUCAAGCUUUGUAGACAGUUACAUUACCAUCAGCAUUUGAAGAUCCAUUUAUUCUCGAUGGCUUGCCGAUCAUCGGGCAAGUCAACCAAAGUCCAUACUUUGUUCUCAUACAUGGAUCCCAUCUCAGAUUUCAUGGCCUCUAGCCAUUUUGCAGAAUCUAGGCUCAUCAUCGCUUCCUCAUAGUUCGUAGGUUCGCCAUGGUCAAGUAACAUGACCUCCAUAAUAGGAUUACCGUACCACUCUGGUGUGGAUCUUACUCUAGUUGAGCUACGAGGUUCGGUAGUAACUUGAUCUAAAGUUUCAUGAUCAAUACCAGUAGCUUCCUCACUGAUUGGUGUAGUUGUCGCAGGAACCGGUUUCUGUGAUGAACUAUUUUCCAAUAAGGGAGCAGGUACAGUUACCUCAUCAAGUUCUACUUUCCUCCCACUCACUUCUUUCGAGAGAAAUUACUUCUCUAGAAAGGAUCCGAACUUAGCAACAAAAGUCCUGCCUUCAGAUCUGUGAUAGAAGGUGUACCCAAUAGUCUCCUUUGGGUAUCCUAUGAAGACACAUUUCUCCGAUUUGGGUUCGAGCUUAUCUGGUUGAAGUUUCUUCACAUAAGCAUCACAGCCCCAAACACUACUAUCAACGUCCGUUUUCCUCUUGAAGAUCCAUUUAUUUUCUAUGGAUUGCCGAUCAUCGGGCAAGUCCACCAAAGUCCACACUUUGUUCUCAUACAUGGAUCCUAUCUCAGAUUUCAUGGCCUCCAGCCAUUUCGCGGAAUCUGGGCUCAUCAUCGCUUCCUCAUAGUUCGUAGGUUCAUCAUGGUCUAGUAACAUGACUUCCAGAACAGGAUUACCGUACCACUCUGGUGCGGACCGUACUCUGGAAGACCUACAAGGUUCUGUAAUAACUUGAUCUGAAGUUUCAUGAUCAUCAUCAUUAGCUUUCUCACUAAUUGGUGUAGGAAUCACUGGAACUGAUUUCAGUGAUGAACUAUUUUCCAAUUCAGGAGAAGGUACUAUUACCUUAUCAAGUUCUACUUUUCUCCCACUCACUUCUUUCGAGAGAAACUCCUCUAGAAAGGAUCCAUCUUAGCAAUAAAUAUCUUGCUUUCGGAUCUGUGAUAGAAGGUGUACCCAAUAGUUUCCUUUGGGUAUUCUAUGAAGACGCACUUCUCCGAUUUGGGUUCGAGCUUAUCAGGUUGAAACUUUUUCACAUAAGCAUCGUAGUCCCAAACUUUAAGAAACGACAACUUUGGUUUCUUGCCAAACCACAGUUCAUAAGGCGUCGUCCCAAACGGAUUUUGAUGGUGCCCUAUUUAAAGUGAAUGCAACUAUCUCUAAUGCAUAACCCCAAAAUGGUAGUGGUAAAUCGGUAAGAUACAUCAUAGAUCGCACCAUAUCCAAUAAAGUGCGGUUAUGAUGUUCGGACACACCAUUACAUUGUGGUGUUCCAUGUGGCGUGGGCUGUGAAACUAUUCCACAUUGUUUUAUAUGAAGGCCAAACUCGUAACUCAAAUAUUCUCCUCCAUGAUCAGAUCGUAGAAACUUUAUUUUCUUGUUAUGAUGAUUCUCCACUUCACUCUGAAAUUCUUUGAACUUUUCAAAUGUUUCAGACUUGUGUUUCAUUAAGUAGAUAUACCCAUAUCUGCUCAAAUCAUCUGUGAAGGUGAGAAAAUAACGAUACCCGCCGCGAGCCUCAAUAUUCAUUAGUCCACACACAUCAAUAUGUAUGAUUUCCAACAAAUCAGUUGCUCGCUCCAUAGUUCCGGAGAGCGGCGUUUUAGUCAUCUUGCCCAUGAGGCAUGGUUCGCAAGUACCAAGUGAUUCCAGAAGUCCAUCAGUAUGGAGUUUCUUCAUGCGCUUUGCACCAAUAUGACCCAAACAGCAGUGCCACAAAUAAGUUGCACUAUCAUUAUCAACUAUGCAUCUUUUGGCUUCAACAUUAUGAAUAUGUGUAUCACUACUAUCAUGAUUUAAUAAAAAUAGACCACUCUUCAAGGGUGCAUGACCAUAAAAUAUAUUACUCAUAUAAAUAGAACAACCAUUAUUCUUUGAUUUAAAUGAAUAACCGUCUUGCAUCAAACAAGAUCCAGAUAUAAUGUUCAUGCUCAACGCUGGCACCAAAUAACAAUUAUUCAGGUCUAAAACUAAUCCCGAAGGUAGAUGUAGAGGUAGUGUGCCGACCGCAAUCACAUCGACUUUGGAACCAUUUCCCACGCGCAUCGUCACCUCGUCCUUAGCCAAUCUUCACUUAAUCUGUAGUCCAUGUUUCGAGUUGCAAAUAUUAGCAACAGAACCAAUAUCAAAUACCCAGGUGCUACUGCGAGCAUUAGUAAGGUACACAUCAAUAACAUAUAUAUCACAUAUAACUUUGUUCACCUUGCCAUCCUUCUUAUCCGCCAAAUACUUGGGGCAGUUCCGCUUCCAGUGACCAGUCUGUUUGCAGUAGAAGCACUCAGUCUCAGGCUUAGGUCCAGAUUUGGGUUUCUUCUCUUGAGCAGCAACUUGUUUGUUGUUCUUCUUGAAGUUCCCCUUCUUCUUCCCUUUACCUUUUUUCUUGAAACUGGUGGUCUUAUUGACCAUCAACACUUGAUGCUCCUUCUUGAUUUCUACCUCCGCAGCCUUUAGCAUUGCGAAGAGCUCGGGAAUAGUCUUGUCCAUCCCUUGCACAUUAUAGUUCAUCACGAAGCUCUUGUAGCUUGGUGGCGGUGAUUGAAGAAUUCUGUCAAUGACACUAUCAUCAGGAAUAUUAACUCCCAGUUGAAUCAAGUGAUUAUUAUACCCAGACAUUUUGAGUAUAUGUUCACUGACAGAACUAUUCUCUUCCAUCUUGCAGCUAUAGAACUUAUUGGAGACUUCAUAUCUCUCAAUCCUGGCAUUUGCUUGAAAUAUUGACUUGAACUCCUAGAACAUCUCAUAUGCUCCAUGACGUUCAAAACAUCGUUGAAGUCCCGGUUCUAAGCCGUAAAGCAUGGCACACUGAACUAUCGAGUAGUCAUCAGCUUUGCUCUGCCAGACGUUCUUAACAUCGUCAGUUGCAUCUGCAGCAGGCCUAGCACCCAGCGGUGCUUCCAGGACGUAAUUCUUCUGUGCAGCAAUGAGGAUAAUCCUCAAGUUACGGACCUAGUAUGUGUAAUUGCUACCAUCAUCUUUCAACUUAGCUUUCUCAAGGAACACAUUAAAAUUCAACGGAACAACAGCACAAGCCAUCUAUCUACAACAAACAUAAACAAGCAAAAUACUAUCAGGUACUAAGUUCAUGAUAAAUUUAAGUUCAAUUAAUCAUAUUACUAAAGAACUCCCACUUAGACAGACAUCCCUCUAAUCGUCUAAGUGAUCACGUGAUCCAAAUCAACUAAACCAUGUCCGAUCAUCACGUGAGAUGGAGUAGUUUUCAAUGGUGAACAUCACUAUAUUGAUCAUAUCUACUAUAUGAUUCACGCUCGACCUUUCGGUCUCAGUGUUCUGAGGUCAUAUCUGUAUAUGCUAGGCUCGUCAAGUUUAACCUGAGUAUUCCGUGUGUGCAACUGUUUUGCACCCGUUGUAUUUGAACGUAGAGCCUAUCACACCCGAUCAUCACAUGGUGUCUCGGCAUGAAGAACUUUCGCAACGGUGCAUACUCAGGGAGGACACCUAUACCUUGAAAUUUAGUGAGAGAUCAUCUUGUAAUACUACCGUCAAUCAAAGCAAAAUAAGAUGCAUAAAGGAUAAACAUCACAUGCAAUCGAUAUAAGUGAUAUGAUAUGGCCAUCAUCAUCUUGUGCUUGUGAUCUCCAUCUUCGAAGCACCGUCAUGAUCACCAUCGUCACUGGCGCGACACCUUGAUCUCCAUCGUAGCAUCGUUGUCGUUUCGCCACCUAUUGCUUCUACGACUAUCGCUACCGCUUAGUGAUAAAGAAAAGCAAUUACAGGGCGAUUGCAUUGCAUACAAUAAAGCGACAAUCAUAUGGCUCCUGCCAGUUGCCGAUAACUCAGUUACAAAACAUGAUCAUCUCAUACAAUAAAAUAUAGCAUCACGUCUUGACCAUAUCACAUCACAACAUGCCCUGCAAAAACAAGUUAGACGUCCUCUACUUUGUUGUUGCAAAUUUUACGUGGCUGCUACGGGCUAAGCAAAACCGUUCUUACCUAUGCAUCAAAACCACAAUGAUAAUUCGUCAAGUUAGUGUUGUUUUAACCUUCUCAAGGACCGGGUGUAGCCACACUCGGUUCAACUAAAGUUGGAGAAACUGACACCCGCUAGCCACCUGUGUGCAAAGCACGUCGGUAGAACCAGUCUCGCGUAAGCGUACGCGUAAUGUCGGUUCGGGCCGCUUCAUCCAACAAUACCGCCGAACCAAUGUAUGACAUGCUGGUAAGCAGUAUGACUUGUAUCGCCCACAACUCACUUGUGUUCUACUCGUGCAUAUAACAUCUACGCAUAAAACCUGGCUCGGAUGCCACUGUUGGGAAACGUAGUAAUUCCAAAAGAAAAUCCUACGCACACGCAAGAUCAUGGUGAUGCAUAGCAACGAGAGGGGAGAGUGUUGUCCACAUACCCUCAUAGACCGAAAGCGGAAGCGUUAGAACAACGCGGUUGAUGUAGUCGUACGUCUUCACGGCUCGACCGAUCAAGCACCAAAAGUACGGCACCUCCGAGUUCUAGCACACGUUCAGCUCGAUGACGUCCCUCGAACUCCGAUCUAGCCGAGUGUCGAGGGAGAGUUUCGUCAGCACGACGGCGUGGUGACGAUGAUGAUGUUCUACCGUCGCAGGGCUUCGCCUAAGCACUGCUACAGUAUUAUCGAGGAGGACUAUGGUGGAGGGGGGCACCGCACACGGCUAAAAGAUCAAUGAUCUGUUGUUGUUGUGUCUAGAGGUGCCCCCCUGCCCCCGUAUAUAAAGGAGCAAGGGGGAGGGGCGGCCGACCAAGAGGAGGCGCGUCUGGAGGAGUCCUACUCCCACCGGGAGUAGGACUCCCUCCCUUCCUUGUUGGAUUAGGAGAAGGGGGAAAGAGGAGGGAGAGAGAUGAAGGAAAGGGGGCGCCGCCCCCCUCUCCUUGUCCUAUUCGGACUAGGGGGGAGGGGCGCGCGGCCCUGCCCUGGCCGCCUCACCUCUUCUCCACUAAGGCCCACUAUGGCCCAUUAAGCCCCCGGGGAGUUCCGGUAACCCCUCGGUACUCCGGUAAAAUCCCGAUUUCACCCGGAACACUUCCGAUAUCCAAAUAUAGGCUUCCAAUAUAUCAACCUUCAUGUCUCGACCAUUUCGAGACUCCUCGUCAUGUCCGUGAUCACAUCCGGGACUCCGAACAACCUUCGGUACAUCAGAACUCAUAAACUCAUAAUAUAACCGUCAUUGAAACUUUAAGCGUGUGGACCCUACGGGUUCGAGAACUAUGUAGACAUGACCGAGACAUGUCUCCGGUCAAUAACCAAUAGUGGAACCUGGAUGCUCAUAUUGGCUCCUACAUAUUCUACGAAGAUCUUUAUCGGUCAAACCACAUAACAAGAUACGUUGUUCCCUUUGUCCUCGGUAUGUUACUUGCCCGAGAUUCGAUUGUCAGUAUCCCAAUACCUAGUUCAAUCUCGUUACCGGCAAGUCUUUUUACUCGUUAUGUAAUGCAUCAUUCCGUAACUAACUCAUUAGCUACAUUGCUUGCAAGGCUUAUAGUGAUGUGCAUUACCGAGAGGGCCCAGAGAUACCUCUCUGACAAUCGGAGUGACGAAACCUAAUCUCGAAAUACACCAACUCAACAUGUACCUUUGAAGACACCUGUAGAGCUCCUUUAUAAUCACCCAGUUACGUUGUGACAUUUGGUAGCACACAAAGUGUUUCUCUGGUAAACAGGAGUUGCAUAAUCUCAUAGUUGUAGGAACAUGUAUAAGCCAUGAAGAAAGCAAUAGCAACAUACUAAACGAUCAAGUGCUAAGUUAACGGAAUGGGUCAAGUCAAUCACAUCAUUCUCCUAAUGAUGUGAUCUCGUUAAUCAAAUGACAACUCAUGUCUAUGGUCAGGAAACAUAAUCAUCUUUGAUUAAUAAGCUAGUCAAGUAGAUGCAUACUAAUGACAUUAUGUUUGUCUAUGUAUUCACACAUGUAUUAUGUUUCCGGUUAAUACAAUUCUAGCAUGAAUAAUACAUUUAUCAUGAUAUAAGGAAAUAAAUGAACUUUAUUAUUGCCUCUAGGGCAUAUUUCCUUCAGCAGCGCCCCCCAUAGCCUCACCACGCAUGCCGGAGAUUUCUUGCAACACCGCUCGCCUGCUUCACACUACAACGCCGCCAUCUCUCCCUUUCGCCGGUCGUAGCUCGUGGGUGGCCUUGGCCCGUAGGGAACACGUGACAACAAAACUUUGUUGUGAUGAUAAGAAUUCCAGAGAUAAAAGCGACGCAUCGCCCUACUGAUGUGUAACUCUCACGUACAACAAGUGGGCCUCAGCAACGAGCAAGCGGCACGACCGGCGCGACCGGCGCGACGGGCCGAACGCUCGACCGUAUACGAACAUUUCCUAAGAACUAGGUAGGAAGUGCGGUGCUGCCGGGUAUAAUUAUAUACAAUUUGGUAAUACAAUCAUUGAAGCAUUGCGAAUAUAGAAAAUAGGAUAAUGUAGUUGUGUUUAUCAAUCUAAUAUAUCAAGUUUAGAUCAGAAACAUUGCAUCGAUACAUACACACUCAAUACAUAGCAAUUGGUCCAGCAAAAAACAAAAGGUUUCAAUCCAAAAGUAAGCUAUAUACAUAUUUAGUACGUAGCAGUUGGUUCACGCAACUACAAAAGGUCCUCGACUUCCUUGUCAUUACAUACCAUAUUAUAGGUAAAUAAAGUAUGAAUUGAAUCCUGGGCAGCAGUUCAGAUAAUUCAGUGGCAAGUUCCAUGCAUUUAGACGGAGGUCGACGUGAUUCGUCAUUACAUACCGCGUCUACCAAAAGAGACCACAAAUUCAGGCUUGUACCUAUAGAGAAGAUAAUUUUACCAGGACAGAUAGUGUUACCUAGUCCAAAUAAAGGCGAAGUGCAUAUGGCAACGGGCUUAUAAGAGGCAUAAGAAUGAAGCGUGUGCAUAUGGCAACGGGCUUAUAAGAGGCAUAAGAAUGAAGCGUGUCUUUUGAGAUUCACAGUGAUAGUCGAUAGCUGCAGAGAAGAGCACAUAUUCUACUUAAAUACUGAUAUAUUCUAUAGCUGCCAUAGCAAACUAUUUUAAAAACUGGCUUACAUGCGAUCCGUGCAUUUAGUCUUUAAAGACUAAAGUCCUGCGGGUAGUAGGCUGGGACUUUGUUUUGGACCUGUGGUCUGUUUCACUGGGAAAGCAACAAACAUGAGUAAUGUAUAUAGUUGUAAAAGUCUGAAGAGUGGGAGGGAGGGUAUGUUACUCGUUUGGUGGCUGUGAGCCCGCAGUUUCGGUAAGGCCAUCCUAGAGGUUAAUGUUCAUUUGUAUGCAAGUAAUGCAAGUGAAAAGCUGACCAAUACUGUGAUUACCUCUAAUUUGUUGACACUUUUAGUUGCUGGAGUGUUCUCAUGGUCAAAGAGGCGAGCUGAUUCUGAAAGGAUUGCGCACGACCAUAUAACACUGAUGACCUACUUAGCUUUGAGUUGUCUUUGUCAUUUCUUGAGCUCCACCAAGUUGGGAUCAUCUCUUGUAAUUAUGCCCAUGGUCAGUAGAUAGGCUAAAGCAGCAGAACAUGUUGACUCAAUAGCACCGCUGGCAAGCUGAGUUGAUUCUCCAUAAUAUUCAUGUUGAGUCGGUAAUAUGCUUUUGUUGUGGGGGCAGAGAUCGAUUUUCACUGAUGCCAUUACUAUGGCAUCAUCAGCACCAGCAAGUUCGAAUGCAUGAAUUGUACCGUCGAUCAGUUUGAUAGCUUCUUCGAGCAUAUACCUUCUCUUGAUGGUAACACAGAUGGCAUAGAGCUACAUUCAUUGAAAAGGGUAAAAUAAUCUAUUAGGUUAAUUGGGCAUGUUACCAUUAGUAACCCGGUAACAAUAUAAUUGAAAGUGAAAAUAAGCAACAAUCUACUAAAUAUUUAAAGCAGAAUGAAAAUAACUCAAAGCAAGGCAUGAUACCUUCUAUAGUCUUAAUUGUUGAAUGAUAAAAUAGACCAGGAGUACAUUAUGAAGGAAAGGACCGUUGUACAUUGGUAUUAAGCAUAGUUUGCAAGAAAAGAGAUAAAUGUGGUACAUAUGUUUUUACCAAUAAUAACAGUGGGGUGUGUGCAUGAUACAGAAUAACAUCCAGUCUGUCUGGUAGCACCGAUGUAGGAUACACAUAUAUUUAGACUACAAUAGGCAAGGGGUGGCAUUUUUAUAUAGACAUUGACUGCCUGAUAUGACCCAUCCAGAACACACAUAAUCUACAAUAGGGGCAGAACAGAUGCAUAUUUGCACCAACUCAGAAAGCAUGGCAAUAACUCAAUCUCUCAUCAUGCCAUCGAUAUUGCAUGGGAGGGGUCCCAUCUCAUCCUUCAUCUUUUUCACUUGGGGAUAUCAAACUCAAUCUCUCAUCAUGCCCACAAGACAUCUCAGACACUCAGUAGCAGCACUUUGCAUGGCCUCAUUAACAUCAGUAGCUGGUCUCCGCCAUAAUUUUUUAUCAGUUCCAAUGAAUGCCACAAGUAGACAGUAGCACCCUUAAACACGAUGGCACAUGCAAGUCAUUUACUUUGCAUCGAGCAAACCCAUCUGAGCAAGAACAACAUUGAGAAUGGCCUUUGGGAUGACCUUGAUAGCAUCCUUCCCUUUAAGAAUACAGUGCAUUUAGUAGAAGAAGGUAAACAUGUGUAUACCUACUUAUGAAUAACCUAUCUUAUAAGAAAAUGGGAAUGAACAGAACAAUAUAAGUUUCAGUACUCGACACACAACAUAAUCAUGUUUGUGCUCCAAGCAUACCACAAUCCAUAGCAAUAAUCCUGAAUGCGCGAUUACCCAAGAAAUAUCAAUAUGUGCAUUCAAGAAUACUCAUGACACAUAUCUUACUGGGGUAGGCCAAGCAUCAAGGAGCUAGCAAGGGACGCAUCCAUGAGAGGCAUGGAUAGAGAAAAUAUUGACUGCCCUACAAUUGUUUAGUGACCUAAUCAUGCAAACAACACAUGCAUACAUGUCAAACCUAUGGUGAUACCACAUACAUGUCAAACUGUGCCAAAAAACACUUUCUGGAAAGAGUUAAUGUAAACUCAAGUAAAUCUCUCUUCAAAGGUGAAAAUUUGCUCUACGACAUCAAUCAUUAGGAUAUACUUUCCUAUCACUUACAAAGGAGCAGGGGAAGCUCCUCUGUCUAAGGAUGCAUACCUAACAUAGCAGAAGACGGUGCCACACAAAUAAAUAUAUCACAAUCCCUCUGAUUGCAAACUUAUAGAUUUCAGUGGUAGUGACAUCAGUAAAACCGGUGGAUAUUAGAACAUCAGAGGGCCUAUCUAAAUUUCAAAAGAAAUAGCUAUAGUAUGAGCACAUUUAAGAUCUGAAAACCCAAAACAAAUUCCACUUGUCCAUUAAACUCUAAUGAAUUACAUGCUUUCACCUCCACAUCAAUUCUCACAUGGUAUAAAAAGAUCAAAAAUCACGUGCAAGUACUGUAUUAAGUGUUGUUUUACCACUGACUUUAUUACAAAGCUCGAGGAGGCCUCCACCAGCGUUGUGGAAUUAAUCAAUUUAUCAUAGGCACUGCAAAAUAGCAAAUCAUGUAGAUGCACCUCUCACUCCACUUUCUUAUAAGUACUUCUCAAACUAUAAUUGUUUGUGGCAAGACACCCUUCCUAUCCCACUAAACCAAGCUAUACCCAUAUCUUCAUUCAGAGCCCGUAAGCAUUCAGAUCAAGGUAUUCACCAUUUUUCUUAAUGCAUAAUAAACUAAAUCAAUAUAUUUGCAAAAGAGACAAAAAGUAUUCAAUAAACAUGCAACGUUUCUGAUCAGAACAAUCAUGGUAUCAUAAGCACAAAAUGUUUCAGAGCAAUGUACAAAAGAUAAAAGACUACAAUCCAAGGGAAAAGGAAAACCAAUUUGAGGUUGAAGCUAUCAAUUUAAGUAUAUAACCAACAAUGUUAGCUAUAACGUUUUGGGAUGCAACUUAUUCAGUUUGAACUAUGAACUUGCAAUCUAAUAGAGUAAUCAGAUUGAGAAGAGAAAACUAACUCACGUGAGAGUGGCCCAAUACUUGUAGUGUUCAGUUCUGCAUCAUUGUCUGUGAGACAAAAUACAAACACACAAAAGGCAGUAAGCACAUGGAUAACAAAGAUACUGAAUUGGGGCUUGAAAAAAUGAAAAUAAAACAUAGAAGGAUGCUCAAAAGAGUAUAAUAAAAAUGCAACAAAACAAAAGACUUCUUAAUCAUCUUGUCAUCAUACAAUGAAACUCAGGUCUUCUUUUCAUAACAAACACAAUCCUUUUGCAUGUGUACAUAGAAUUGGAAGUACUGAUUUACCUUUAGUUGCCUCCGGUGCACACCAUCAGUACCCUCUCAGAUUCAUGACAGAAAGUCAAGCCUGUGCAUAUGAUUAGACCAUGUACUCAACCCAUGGAUUUCGAGUCGCUCGACUAGUCGCGACUAGUCGACGACUAGUCUAUGAGUCGCAAAAAUAUGGUCGACUCAGCUUAGUGUCGACUCGCGACUCAGAGUCGCGACUAGUCACAACGCAGGCUCGACUUCUUCCGAGUCGCUGCCCCAAAGCGACUCGCAUGAGUCGCGACUCAAAAACCAUGACUCAACCUAGAAUAAUCAAACUUCUCCCAGUUUUUCACAAUUUAUAUGUGUACAUAAGAGUAGUUAAAACAGAGAUUGAAAUGGGCAUGCAGAAUAGAUUAUCUGCCGGCAUAUAAAAGUGGAGAAUUUUUGAAAAAUAAAUAUUCAUAACAGGAAUCAUGAACACACCAAAUAAGUUUCACAUUUCAUAUAAUUUCUUACAAAGCAUAAUUCAAAUAAAGUUAAGAUAGGACAAGAAAGUCAGAUAAUUUACAAUAGGAGAAGAGGAUAGCCCUAAAAAGCUUUGAAACUUCAUGCCUCACGCAUCCCAUACUCUUUGCAAUGGGCUAAAUCUAAAAUACAUAUCACCGAUGAUUCUAUUCUCAAAUCAAACAAAACAAAAGGCAAAGGGGCAGCAAGGCUUGAUUACAUAUCCUCUAAACUCCUCCAUAUCUGGGCUCCAAGGACUAUAGAGAAAGGGAGCUAAGCCAUCGACACACUAUCCCUUCCCGAUCCCGAGCGGACAGAUAACUAUUUCUCAAAUCAAGGGAAGCAACUCCAAGAAAUAGAAAAACAACUUGUGGACAUCAUUUUAUUUAGUCAGUGAGUUGGAAAGAUACCUACUGAACUUACACGACUCAAGAGAAUAUUCCAGCUUCCACCAAAGAAUUUUUUGUCACCUUAGCCCUACGAAAAAUCACAUGCAAUAGUUAACAAUGAAAAAAUAUACUAGAUGAAAAUAUGUGUGCCCAGAUUGUGAGCCUAAGCACAAGGGAAACAAAAAACAUCAAAGAUUGUGCUCAGAAUAUAACAGCAAUCUUAUGAACAAAGUAUGUAACUGCAGUAAAAAAACAAAGUUAGAAUAGUGAAUUGGCUUCUUAUACUAACAGUGAGAUCCUGCAUUGCCCGCUUGUAAAGAGAGUGCAUAUCGUGUGUUUCUAUGCAGACUGGAUAUAGAAAAAUGACUGCAACAUGUUGUUUGCUGCAUACAACCUCAUAAAAAUGGCAUAACUAAUGCAAGUAUGUUUUAGUGUCAACUGGAACGAAUAUAAAACUCCAAUAACAAAUUUGCAAGUUUGGAGCAAAUAUAACUUAUUUUGUUCAUGUCUUCGAGAAACACUUAUUUUGUUCAUGCCUAUAAUAUAAUUAUGGCACAACCCUAUAUGUCUUCCACAAAAAAAAUAGAGAGGAAAGCAAUCACAUUAAUAAUUUUAUAGGAAAACGAUGGAAACAACUCACUUCUAGUUUUCAUAGUUAGAGUUGCAGGUAACCAUCAUAUGAGAGUACUCUUAUAUAUUUGAACAUCGUCAGUCAAUCGGGAGCUCUGUUGGCAUACAUCAUGGGAACCGUGUAUUACGAAACCUAAGCAACUAAUGUACUCCAUGUACCUGAUUGUACGACCAUGGCAAAACGUUAUUUUUAAAUCUGACUAUCCGAUACAAUAUACACUGUAGGCAAUGUUUCCUGGCCUAUGAGUUGGCUGUGGAGAGAAGUACUAUGUUCACCCCUUCUCUGUGCCCGUGACGAAUCCAGUGAUGGCAAAAAGUAAAAAAAAAAAACAAAUAGAAAUGCAAAGAGGUGAUGCCCGCAAGUUCUGGCUCGUGAGACCGUGAGAACCAUCGUGGAGUCCAUCCCAUGCACACCCUCGGAUCCGAUUCUUUGUGUGAAAGCCAAAGGCCCGGUCGGGUCGGGCCACAGCGUCAGCAUCAUCGCCACGCAUGGUAUAAAUACUGCAGAUCUAUACCCUGAAGAAGGCUACUGUUAUUGCAUAUGUGUUUCAAUUUUUCAUUUACAGAUCUCUGCAAAAAUCAAAAAAGUUGCCGUGAAUUCACUCCAAGUAAUGAAGCUUACAGAGAUAGCGAGAGUAAAAGAUAGGACUGUAGUGUGACUCGCCCUUGAGAAUCCCCGGGCAUAUGUAGAGUUAUCAAUUUGGGAAGAGUGAAUGGAAUUGAACUAACCAGGAAGCCAAAAUGACGUCUAUCAACCCUCCCAGUCUCGCCAUUGAACCAACCAGGCAACUAAAAGCAGAUCAGAGGUCGCCUCUAGGGACUCUAGCAGCGCCACCAUCAGCUGUUCUCUGCCGCUUUCGUUGUUCCAGGCCAAGAAGACAGAUGAGAUGAGGAGGAUGGGAAAGAGCAACAGUAGUUGGAUCUGUUUCGGUGGCCUGCCAGCGUGAGGAAACUUCGUUCGUUAGGGAAGGGAAGAAAGCAAAUGGUUCGAGGCACGUGGAGGAGGAGAGGGGAGCAGACCUUGAAGAGAUCCAUGGUGGCGUCGGAGCUGAGGAGGGAGGAAGACCGGCAUCAAAGCCCACCCACCGGACGGCCAGGCAGUCAUCACCCGACAAAGGAAGCAGUUGAACCCCUCAUCCACCUCUUACGGCGUGCGAUUGUGGAUCUUGCGGAGCUCGACAGAAACCACACAAAGGGAGGAGGCGGGCUUGGUCUUCCGGGAGCGCUGCUGCGGCCGGCGGAUCGGGCAGCGCCAUGGCCAUGGCCGUCGGCUGACCUGCGGCCGUGGUGGACGAAGUCCGCGUCCACCUGCAUCUUGACACCGCCAUCAGAUGCUCUCCACAGCUUCCCAUGUUCCAGGCCAAGAAGACGGACGAGACGAGGAGGAUGGGGAAGAGCAACAGUGGCCGGAUCUGUCUCGGUGGCCUACCUGCGUGAGGAAACGUGACGGAGCGGUGGCCUGAGUUCGACGAUGGGGAGGAGAAGACGUCUCGCAGCUGUCGGGGGCGCCGCCAGGAAGGGGAGCGGGGGAGGAGGACGAGUGGGAGAGGGCGGCGGCUAGGGUUCCCGCGAGGGAGGAAUGGGAACAAGGAGCAGGGCUGUCGCUCUCCCUCACUAGCAGUCAAGGUGUGUUGACCUAAAUGUGAAAAGACCAAAAUGCCCAUUGGGGGGCACCGAAAUAACAGGCGGUGGCACACCAGAGGACGCACAACAGUGUCGGGCCUAGAUCCGACGGCCCAUAUCGUUCCCUUUGAGAUCCAACGGCCUAGAUCGUUUCAUCUGCAGAUCCGACGGACAAGAUCAUUUUAGAAACGCAAUCCGAUGACCCAUAAUCCAAACGCACGGGAGGGCUUCAUUUUGUUCUGGACUCUAACAAUGGGAUAUAUAUACCAACCUAAUCCAUGGGACUCCGGGCCCUUCGAUCAAAACAGCCAUCUGAAUCUUGGCCCCAACCUCAAAGAAAAAAGAACAUUGGCCCCGCAUGUCAGCCAACACAGGGCAAUAUAUAAAAGAUACCCGCUUCUCCCGUCCCGUGCUCAACCUGUCCCGACCUGGUUUUCCUCCAACCGGCGACCCAGCCAAACCCUAGAACAAACCGACCGAGCAGGCCAUCGCCACCCCACGGACUCGCCGCAGCCGCUGCAGCUGCAGCUGUCGCGCCGCAUGGCCGAGUACGAGGAGGGCUACGAGGGCAACGGCGACCCCGCCGCCGCCGCCGCCGCCGUCACCGGAGGUUCCCCGCCGACCAAGCCCUCCGGUUUCUCCGACCAACCCGACGGUCGCUCCCAGGUGCAUUCCUCUGAUCCACUUGAUCCGAGUAGCGGUCUAGCUGAACCGUGGGUCAUGUCCAGCUUGUGCGAGGUACAGGCAGACUAGUGCUUGUUUAGCUGCGCAGAUGUGUUGAUCUGCGGAGAUGUGUGCGCGCCUAUCUGGGCGCGGGGAUUCUCGGUUGUUAGGGUCGGUUUUGUUUUGAUUGGUAUCAUAUUCGUGGCCUUGUGGGAGCGGCUACUUUUUGAAACUGCCGCGGCUCACUAUUGAUGUGAGAUUACGUUUCUAAUGUAUACGUCUUGCUGCAUUUUAUUCUGUUGCUUCCCUCAAAUUGUUUUUGUUAAGCUACUUGUAUAUCAUUCCUUGAUGCAUUGAACUGAUAAUCACAUGCUUUGUUAAACUUUAUUAUCUUAUUAGCUGUGAAGAUCUAUGUACAAGUUCUGGAUUCUGCCUUAAGAUAAUUUGUGGGUGUAUUCCUCUGUUGCUUGUUUGAAUAAUGUCUUCAAGCGGUCCAUUGAUGGCUCUAAAUAGCAAGCAUUUUGCAUAUGUUCCUUCAUGUAUGGUGAUCAUAUCGUCGUUGAUGAAAGAAUAUCAUUCAGGUGUGUCUAGGGCACAUCUAGAUGUGCCCUAAUUAUUGUACAUCUAAGUGAGUGAAUCAAGCACAAAGAGGAAAACAAAGAAGAAAAAGAAAAUACCCACACAAAUCUCGAUGUAAGACCAAUGACAUAGGACUUAGAUGUGCAAUACUUAUGGCACAUCUAGAUGUGCUUUAGCAAAACUGAUAACAUUCUUAUAUUCUACAAGAAAUCUAACUAAUAUCUUCCUUUUGUCCCCAGCAGGAGGUACAGCCACAUGAGGGAAGGUCCUCAAAAUCUAGAGAGAGGGACAGAGGACGAGAGAAGGACAAGGACAAGGAGCGUGAUAGAGAACAUGGAAGAGAUAGAGAAAGGGGCCGUGAUAAGGACAGGGAGAGGGACCGGGGUGACCGGGACCGGGAACGCGACCGCCACCAUAGGGAGCACCGUGAAAGAAGUGAAAAAAGGGAGCACUGUGGCCAUUCUGAUGACCAUGAUCGUCAUCGCAGCCGUGACCGUGAUAUUGAAAGGUACCAUGUCUAAACUUCCAUGGAUUUAGUUAUGUUAGUUCCACCAUGCCUAUUUCUGAGCUCUAGGUAACUACGUUGAAAACCAUCCAUCUCUGUUACUCACAAGGCUUUUAAUCUUCUGAAGUAUUCCAUGAUGUAAAAUUUGCUUGCCCUCGUGUCGCCCUUUCUGGUGUUUGUUUUAAAGAUACUUUUUGAUUAUGGUCUAUGGUGUACAUAGGAAUUCUAGCAUUAUAGGUGUCCAGGCCUCUGGGUAUGCUUUGCUUGAGCCCAAGUUCAUCCUACCAAGUAUUUGGUCAAGGGUUUGCUUGUUUAUGUUUUGUCCAAUAUUGGCUAGAAAAAUGGAUAAUAGUUGGCAUGGGCACGCCAAAAGUUUGGCAACCAUCCAAAUAAAGACCACAGUUUUGGCUAUGACAGAAAAUUGUUAAUGUUUGUUGGUUUUUGGACACCAACCAAACACUAACAAUACUCUGCACAUUGCCGCAAAAUUAUUUUUGAGAUUUGAUUUCUAAAUAUUGUAUAGAAUAUAAAUUCAUUCCUUAAGAUUUGAACUAUGGGAAUUUCUGCAGAAUUAGAAAAAUAAAAACCUUAACAUGAAAAGUUGAACAUGUCAAAAUUAAUACAUUAAGAUUCAGAACUCACUUAAGGGUGCAUGAAUUAAUGUACGUUGCGUUAGAGAUGCUCUCAUGUCCAGAUCAGACGUGGACCAAUCUAGCAAAUCCAGCAGCUACAACAAUUUUGCUGAUGUGCAUGCUCGCAUGCACAGCAAAAUGGCUGUUUAAUGACUUAUGGGUUUUGUCUAUAUAAGAUUAUGUUGAUAGGGCUAAUACUUUAGAAUUCUUAUUUUGUUAUGUAAGGUUCUGCAGUAUAUUAUAUAGAUGUUAUGUCACCUUUGUUUGGGAGAAGUAAGAAAGAACCAAUCUAUUGUCUCCCAAAUAUCCUCUCAUCUAGUCUAUGUCCAUCUAAACCUCUCGCAGCCAUGCUGUCUGGCUAUCUUCAGCGCAGUAGUUAUCCCAUUGUGAUUACAGGUUCACGACACAUGUUCAAAUUUGUCUAAAAAAGAACUUACUCAUAAUACAUAAUCUUGCCGGGUUCUAUAAAAUUUCACGAUAGAAAUGAGUUGUAGAGUAGCGUUUUGGAGUGAAGUCCAAAUUGACAUCUUUCAAAGUACUCUAGGGAAUAUGCUUAACUUGGUGCGAGGUUCGCUUUUAAUGUUGUUCCUUUGUGGGUGGUUACUUGCUGAAGGUUUAUUGUAACCUUUGUGUGGAUGGUGUUAAAUUUUGUAAAAUCUGUUUUCCUUUGCUAAAAUGAAGGCUCUGUUAAUCAAUUGUUCUUUUUGGGACAGAAAUAGCCAAGUCAUGUUUUCUGGAGAAUGUUUUGUUAUCACAGUAGAAUGCUAAUCUAGUAUCCUCCAUAUACUCAUCCUAUCUUGAUAACAUCAUCUUCUAUACAAAAAACCUGGGCUACUGAUUCUAUGAAAUCUGGCGUAUUCUGAGAUAAACUGGUAAUGCAGAAGAGACCGUGACAAGGAUGGCCAUCGCAGGCAUCGCUCCCGCUCCCGUUCUAAGGGUCGUGAACGCAGAUCCAGAUCUCGUUCGCGUUCUCGUUCAAAGAGGUAUGUGUUGAAACUUGAAUCUCUUCCAAAGGUUUACUAUCUACGUUUAACAUGUCAGCAGUCUGAGGAAGACAAAUCAGCAUUCCUUUCGAGAUCCGUCACAGAUACUAUUCGUGUAUGCUGUUCUUUCAUUGUUUGCGCUUAAAAAUCCAUGCAUUGGUUUCGUGCUUUCUGUUUGGAUGUCAACUGCUAAUACAUUGUUUAUCUGAUGCAGAUCUUUCCUGCGUGAUAUGUUAUUUGUUAUAUACCUUAUGCUGGUUCUAUUGUGUUUCUCUAGUCUGCUAUUUCCUGCUUGUUGAACUACUUAUAUAACUGCCUGCCGCCCUGAAACAGCAAGCGGGUGAGCGGAUUUGACCAGGGACCAUCGCAAGCCAUUCCUAUGGUCACUCCUGGCGCGACCCCAGGUAUGUGGCAAACAAUACUGAUGUUUCUAGUUUUGCAUUUUUACACAUAUGUUUCUAUGAUUAGGACUAAAAAAGAUGAUCUGUUAAGGAACUGCUAAUCAGCUGUUAUGCACAAUUAUAUAUUUGCAAUAAUAAUAGCAGCUUCUGGAAUGACUAUGUACAUCCGUUCAUUUUCACUGCAAUACCUAUCCACAUGCUUUGCCGCGAACUUGUACUAAACAGCCAGAAUGCAAAUUAUUGUUCCUAUAAAUACGGAUCAUCAUUUAUUUCAGAAAUGGUUGCACGUUCCAGUUCAUAAAUAUUGUUGGUUCACAAUCGAACAAAUUUUUGAAGAUUUAGCUUUUGCUUGCGAUUGUCUACGAUAAGUCUGGCAACUUUCCUCUUUGGCUUGUCACCAGAAAUUGACUGAGCUAUGGGAAUUGGCCCAUUCUGAGAACUGGGGCCCUACAGUUUAGUAGCAGUGGAUGCUUUGGAAGGCUUGGUAAUGAUUGUUGUGGGAAUGAUAUUUUCUUACAGAGAAGGCUUGUAAAUUUGCAUUUUACUAGUACAUAUUUCCGUGCGUUGCAACGGGAAAAAAUUGCAGAAUCUGCUCCACAUGCCAACUACGUACAUCUCUAGUGACAUUGUGAAAGUAAUGUUAUUAUCACCAUGUAUAGUAUAAUUGUUUGUGCGUCAAAACAAAGAUACAAAUAUUCUAAUUGUUAAACAUCAAUCUUGUCAAACAUAAGAUCCUUGUACGCAUCAAACAACAUGUUGAUAAUAAAUCAAGAUGUUUCAUCUAUGAGAAAAUAUUGCUUAGUUGAACCGAGCAAGCUACAUAUGAAAGAUGGAAUUUAAAUUUUAUGAUAAGGUAACGAAUGAAACCAACCAUUUAAGUAUACUGUCCAAUGUGUUACGUAAAACAUUUCAAAUGGCAUGACACAACUAAUUCAAGAACUGUCAUAUUACAAGCUAUACCCUUGAGUCGGUCUGAUCAUCUUAUAGUUGCAAAACAAAUAUUUCUUGAGAACUUGCAAGUAAUUAUUAUGCUUAUAAUCUAGAGAACUACCUUGUCCUACCAAAGAAAGAAACAAUCCAAGAACAAGCCCCCUUGCUCAAUUGUAACAUUACGACACGGGUAGCAUCUGAUUCUGAUCUCAUCCUCUCUGUCCGGUUAUGAACUCCAGCUGCCCUGCUCCUCCGCUUUGACCCGUUUCGCCUCAACAAUUUGGUCUCUUCGGUCGCCUCACACUCAACAUCCUACAGUUUUCUCAUGAAUUCCAUUCAGUUUCAACUCAAACAAAUUUGCUAGUAUGAUAAAAUUGCAACCAAACGAUAUGGGCAAACUUGAUCAUGUCCUAAGUCGCCCUCUCAUCCAGCAAGCAGCUUGUCGAGGUGGUUGCAUCUAGCACGUCACAGGAUCAAAUGGCCAGCAGCAUGCUGGAUGAUCCUCGUCCGCUAUACACACUGCAGAUUUUUUGUUUGAAGAAUUCAUGCAAGAAAUGGAAUCCAAGUGUUUAGGAGCGGAGGGAGUACAUGUCAAUGCAAUUUGUUCAUAUAACUUGCUUAUUGUCUUGAAAGAAGCAAACCAUGUACCUCCCUUGUCUAUAUAUUUACCGGGACGGCAUAAGCGACAAUAGUGUGGACCCAGUAUAGGACGACCCCAAGAGGAUAUGGUAUUAUGAGACUCUGGCAAUGACUUGGUGUCCUGUUCCAUGAUAUAAGCUGCAAGGAAUAGCUAACCUCUGGAUCUGCAGCAGAAUUAUUCACUUGCUUAUUUGGUAUCUGGAUCUUUUAGCACAUGGGAAAAUUAUAUGCAACUGUACUUUAAAUUUUGACAACAAACAACACCAGAAAGGACAACUCGUUAUACGCCUACACAAAAAUGCUCUGGUCAUUUUAUUCCUUUAGCUGUUUUCAAUUAUAUACAACAUGCUCUCACUACUGCUACUUAAAAUCAAGGCAUUUUUCAUAUUGUAUUUUUUCAGGCUUCAGUUUACAUGCUUUUUCCUAAGCUUCCACGUCUGAAAGGUAGUUAGCACUCUGUAAUCAUAGAGGAUUUAUAACCAUAUAGGCAUUUCGCAAUGGCAGCGGAGGAUACUGUGGAAUGUAAAAUCUGUAAAUUGUAAAUUAAAAAAAACAAUGACAUGAACAUAAGGCAUGUGUCUCCUACGACUACAACACGUCCAUCUAACAAACUAAAGCACUCGUCAGUCUAAUAAUUUUCAGGUUAGGCUCGCUCAUUACCAUACAACUUCUAGAAAGAAGAAAUCAUACAUUACACAAAAACUGCAGAGAGAAAAAUAGGAUAUGAGAAAGAACCUUUAACCACCCACCCACACAACUUCCAACAUAGAACCUCCGGCGAAGUUGCAACAUUUGCAUCUCUUCAAGCCAAUGUGGAGCAGAUUAUAUAGGGGCAUCCUGAAGCAAACAAACAAAUUAAGAGAAGACCAAAACAAAGGAGAAAUAUGUUUGAUAAGGACCUAAGUGCUAUUUUUGUCAUACCGUAAUUACAUAAGAAUAUGUGACCAAAACACCUCUAAACAGAGGACCGGCAGACAUGGCAAUUUUAAUACCAUAGAGGCUUAAAUUGUGUGUGACCUAUGUGGUUGGGAAUUUCAUCAAAUUCCAAUGAAAGGGGUUGGAAGACUACCUUGUAAGUUCUUCUACAUCAUGAAUCUCUUUGCAUCAUUCAAUUCUUAAUAUGCAAACAGCAUCAUCCGUUAUAUGAGGGCUAUAGUAUGUUUGAUUGACACAUCACGUGCCCCAGUGUCUAAACCUGAGUCCAACACCUGCCAUCAUAUUCAGUUAUUCACUUUCUCUUCUUUUACAAUUUAGUAUGCAUCCGCUCAAGCAGGCCCAUACUGAGUAAAGAGGGGAGGGGGAUCAUAAUCUAUCAGGAAAUAUAAAUGUUUAGCAACAGCAAGCAGGAGCACAUUUAGGCUGCAGUACAGCCCAAAAACGGGUGAUCAAAUCUAAGCACAGUAAAAUAGUUAAAAGCAGAUCCAUGACAUCUAUAUUCUAUUAUUCUUACCGAAUUGGUAGCCUAUCUUCAAGUGUUUCGUUCUUCAUUGUAGAUAUUUGUCGUGAGCACUACCGGACAAGCUGAAAUUGCACUCAAGGCAAGACAAAGAUCAGAAGAUGGAUGUUGGUUCCCUGGGUGGAUUCUCAUAUUCAAUUAAAUAAAUAGAAAGAAGACUCUAGGGCGUAGAGGAGAGCCCGUACUAAAUUAGGAUUCUCAUAUUCAAUUAAAUAAAUAGAAAGAAGACUCUAGGGCAUAGAGGAGAGCCCGUACUAAAUUCCACCGUGGCCAGGCACUCAAACACAACCAUUGCAAGCUCGUGUAUUCUAUCUCAAGAUUCAGUAUUGUCGCUUAGGUUUUCCUAUUGGACAACAGCUCCUUCCGCUGUCCUUGCUCGAACAAAAAAAUACAGAAACCAGUGACCACACCCUCCCAUCAGAAAUCGUAGGACUAUCUACUUGCCAUUCAGUUGUAGCAUGCUCACCAUCAACCCCAUUAAUCUUCUUUGUCAUUCCAGCGCCAACCAUGCCAUGAACUCGUGAGCCACUUGUACCUUCGUAGGGCAUGGUGCCCUGUCAGGAGUUGCACCCCGAUCCUCGGCCUCAAACACAAAAUUGGUCCAUAAAAAAUGCUACCGCAAUAAGCCACACAAUGUUUUCUACACUACAAUUCAGAAGCUACUAACGCCAAAUCCAUGUUGGUAUUUGGGCGCAAAAAUAGUCUGCAUCAACUACUGCAUGGUACACGGAAAACAGGGAGGUCUGCAUGGUACACGGAAAACAGUGAAUUACCUCUUGGUCCAACCAGGCACUUCAUGAAUUACUUUCCCUGUUAAUUCCACCAACAGAUCCCUUCCUUGUCAGCUCUAUUCCUCUACUGCCGCCGGAGCAUAAACAACAUUGACUGAUUUAGCCAAUGUGAAACUGAAGUUUUACUUGCACUUACGUUACACUGAAAGUGAAAAAAUAAAAAUAAACUAUGCACAUCAGCAGAAAUCAUUGUCAAGAAAGCCAUAAUGUAGUGCCACGGGAAACAACACCAAAUAAAACAUCAUCAGUAUAUAGAUGCAAGAAAAAAGAUGCUAGCAACACUGCUGCACCCGAAACUGUAAAUAUCAAGUCCCAGCCGCUUGCUUGGCUUUCCUCAAGAAGCUUCCAUCUAUAUUGAUCAAUCACCCAGCGAACAUCCGGCAGCACAAUUGAUUCGUCGCUUUGCUUGUCAUGCUCAUUCUCGGUUUACAUAGCAUCUCCUUCAGCCCGGUCAAGCUGCAAAAUUUUGCAAAACAGACUGGCCUUUGCCCAGACAUUGGGGAAAGGUGUGGGAGCCAUUAUCCUUGAAUCCGCGAACAACCAAAAAGAUCAAAAACAAUCUCCAUGCCCUGUAAAAUCAAUUGAGUAUUUUCUCUCUCAAUCUCCUUGCUCUGCUCAGCCAUGGGAGGUGGCACAGCCAGAACAGGGGAACUGGUGUGGGCUGGAGGUUGUCCGCAAGGAGGGCCUGCAUGGGAUCCGGCAAGCAUCGUCUCCGUAGCAGUUCGUGAGCCUCACUGGAUUGGAGAGGACAUGGUUGGGAAGCCGGCGAGCAGCGCCACGGGGAAGUGGAGACAGAGGUGCCACGGAGAGGCAGCGGUAUCCUUGCGCACGGUGGCGGAGACGCUUGGGGAGGCGCAGCGGUGACAAGGUAAAUUGACAGGUGCAGCGGUGGCGAGUUGAGUUGCCGCGGCGGGGUCUCGCACAAUUAUGGCGUCCACCGGCGUUCAAUCGCGGCUGCCGGCGAGCGGUGUGCUCCAGGGAGCCGGCUGCCGGGGCUUCUUCAGGGCUAUUGACCGGCGACGGGAGAUUCCGAUGGCGACUGCAAGGGGAUGGGAGAGUAGGGAGCGUUGUUGGGAGCGGAGGGAUGAGGCGCGGCGGCGGACGGAACCCUAGCGCCGGGGGUAUGGCGAUCUCGUGCGGGAGAGAGAGAAGGUCCAUCGAAUCGUUUUCUUUUUCACUUAAUCGAUUAAUGAAUACAGAGUGCGGGUUGAUUCCAUAAAAAAUGAGGGACUUUUUUGCAAAAACGCUGCGACGGUGAACCCGACAGACUCAACCCGUGCUUUAUUAUUAUUAGGGAAAGAUUCCACGUUUUAUAUGGAACUGAGUGACUCUUCUUUUGCUGUUCUUGGUUUUUGUGUCUUUGUUUGUUUGUUUGUUGUGUUUCCAUAUUGGAUAGGAAAGCAAUCUUGGACCACUUUGUCCAUCAUAAACCAAUGGAAAGAGCGGACUAAUGUAGCUUAUUGUACAAGGAGAAAACAACUGGUUUGAUAUCUUGUUUGCCUUCAACUAGUAAUCAGUAUUACCUUAUGGCUGUUCCAUAAUUAUUGCUUUUAGUCCUUUGUCUCCUUGAACAUGUGCAAUCCAUUCUCCAUGUAUUUUUAUCUGAAAUGGAUCUUUGCUAGAUUACUGUGGAUUUCCAUGAUAGUCACACGUAUAUCUGUAAGGAAUUGUUCUUUUUUGAUGAAUUCCAGGUCAGCUGCCCGCAGUUGCCCCUCUUAUUACUGGGAUGCUUCCAAACAUGUUUAAUUUCACUGCUCCUACGCAGGUGACUACUAUUUUCCUUUUAGAUUGGGUUCUGUCACCACCAGGCAAUCUGAUUCACCCUGUUUUGUUACUUUUCUGGUGGUGACAGAAUGAACCUAACUCUAGUAUUUGAUAUGUUUCUACUCAUAAUUUUUUCUUCUUCUAUUUGCAUCAGUUCAAUCCUCUAGUUAUGCAACCACAGGCCAUGACACAACAGGUAUUUGACUUUUCUUAUUGCUUGUCUCCAUCAUAUUUUAGUUUUGUUCUGUGAUAUAACGUCAUGGCUAACCACCCUUAUCCUAGGCUACCCGGCAUGCUAGGCGUGUUUAUGUUGGUGGACUUCCACCAACUGCCAAUGAGCAGGUAAUUACUUAAUUAACUUGUUUGUUUUCUUGACGGCCUAUCCUUUUUUGGUCUGCGCUUUGUAUUAAUUUUGUAUUCUUUCUGCAGACAGUUGCUAUAUACUUCAAUCAAGUUAUGGCUGCUAUUGGAGGAAACACAGCUGGUCCUGGUGAUGCUGUUCUUAAUGUAUACAUAAACCAUGACAAGAAAUUUGCUUUUGUGGAGAUGAGGUCUGUGGAGGAAGCAAGCAAUGCAAUGGCCUUAGAUGGUAUAAUGUUUGAGGGAGCACCGGUGAAAGUUAGAAGGCCAACAGACUAUAAUCCUUCCCUGGCUGCUGCACUGGGUCCAAGCCAGCCAAACCCUAAUCUAAAUCUUGGUGCUGUUGGCUUGACACCUGGCUCAGCUGGAGGUUUAGAAGGCCCUGAUCGCAUCUUUGUGGGUGGCCUCCCGUACUACUUCACCGAGGCUCAAGUGCGGGAGUUGCUUGAAUCCUUUGGACCGUUGCGAGGAUUUGAUCUUGUGAAGGAUAGGGAGACAGGCAACUCGAAAGGAUAUGCCUUCUGUGUAUACCAGGAUCUUAAUGUCACAGACAUUGCCUGUGCUGCCCUGAAUGGUAUCAAGAUGGGAGACAAGACCCUCACUGUUAGGCGAGCAAAUCAAGGCACUUCUCAACCAAGGCCAGAGCAAGAAACCAUCCUGUUGCACGCACAACAACAAGUGCAGAUGCAGGUACACUCAGCUGUUGAAAAUAUAUGUUUUACAAAAUGACAGUGAGUUUAUAUUUCCCUUCCAAAUUUUGACCGUUGCUUUCUGACAGAAACUCGUGCUACAAGUUGGAGGGGCUCUACCGACAAAGGUGGUAUGCCUGACCCAGGUGGUUUCAGCAGAUGAACUGAGAGAUGAUGAGGAAUACGAGGAUAUUUUCGAAGACAUGAGGGAAGAAGGGCGCAAAUAUGGUAAACAAAAUGAAAUCCAUGGACUUGCCUUCAUCUUGUUUUGAACCCUUGCAUUCUGUUAUCAUUGUGUUCAGUUACUGAACUUGUUUUGUUUUGUGUGUUGUCUUUUUGUGUGUCUUUUUUGUAGUCCACAUAAAUGCCAUUGCAGAGUCUUUUAUAGUCCAACCCCAUGCAAUAUUGGCAAUCGGGCUUAACCUACAGAAGACACACUAUUCUUUUCCAAUUGGAUAUGAUUGAUCAUAUAUCAUGUAUUUCUUGUUUAUGUAUGUACUCACUAACACUUGGACAGGUAACUUGGUUAAAGCUGUCAUCCCACGACCUGACCCCAGCGGCGCUGCUGUUCCUGGAGUUGGAAAGGUGAGUUCUGAUUUGAUCAUACUCAGUACUGAUGCGUUGAGCAGGAACAAAAUUAUUUUGAUCCAUGGACUUUGUUGUCCGCGUUGCAGGUGUUUCUGGAAUAUGCAGAUAUCGACGGCUCGACCAAGGCGAAGGUCGGGAUGCAUGGCAGGAAGUUUGGCGGGAACCAGGUGGUGGCCGUGUUCUACCCUGAAAACAAGUUUGCUGAUGGAGAUUACGAUGAUUAGAUGAAGUCCUCUGCUUGGUUGACACCCAUAUCAUGCGUUUGCUUAGUUUUCAAAUUGAAUCCUUUUUUAAUCUGUUUGUGGAACCGUCUGCUCGAUAUAUGGUACUCCCUCUGUCCCAUAAUGUAAAACGUUUUUUGACUCUAGUUUUUUGACUCUAGUAUAGUGUCGAAAAACGUCUUACAUUAUGGGACAGAGGGAGUAUAAUUUUAUUUGUCAAGUACAUGUACCGCUGCUGCCCUUGCCUACUGUACCCAAACAUGAUCAGUGCUGGUAUCUUCCCCCUUGCUGCAUGUGGGUCCUCUGUUCACUUUUGUAAAGACUUUUAAGACAGCACCUAAAGCAGUUCAAUUUCUGUUGUCUUAAAUGACUUACAAAAAUGAACAGAGGAGUAUUAAAGGAUUGUAGGCAUGUUUCAAAUUAUUAUUGGACCUGGGACAUGGUUAUGUGGUGAGAUUCGGGGACGCGGAUUUGGUGAACAUGGGUGCACGCGCACCCUUUAUAAAUAGUAAAUUCAAGAAAAUACUAGAAAAAUU